GAUGAAGAACGCAGCGAAAUGCGAUAAGUAAUGCGAAUUGCAGAAUUCAGUGAAUCAUCGAAUCUUUGAACGCACAUUGCGCCCGCCAGUAUUCUGGCGGGCAUGCCUGUCUGAGCGUCGUUUCGACCCUCGCGCCCGGCUUCUGUCGGGGGCGGUGUUGGGGAUCGGCCACACCCUUCAGUGGGAGGCCGGCCCCUAAAUUCAGUGGCGACCACGCUGUAGCCUCCCCUGCGUAGUACUAAAACCCCCUCGCAGGCGGAGAGCGGUGCGGCCCGCCGUAAAACCCCCCAACUUUUACAAGGUCGACCUCAGAUCAGGUAGGAAUACCCGCUGAACUUAAGCAUAUCAAUAAGCGGAGGA
RNAcentral lists this unclassified non-coding RNA (360 nucleotides) under soil metagenome. Its description in RNAcentral is "partial contains 5.8S ribosomal RNA, internal transcribed spacer 2, and large subunit ribosomal RNA". The stretch from base 1 to 120 matches the Rfam family "5.8S ribosomal RNA", at positions 35 to 154 of the family's 154-position model. The record is from RNAcentral.